GGGGAGGGGGCCUGUGCUGGCGCGCGAGCGCAUGUGCACGGCUUCUGAUCUCGUCCCGUCUCCUUCUAUCAACCCCUGUGCACCUUUAUUGAUCGGGAUGCGGGAGAAGCGUGUCAGUAGGAUUAGCGUAGUAGUUGUGGGUCCACCAUAGCGAAAGGUUAAUCUGUUGAUCGGCGCGUGGUACCUCGCGCUCGACUCUUUACAAACCACCAAAUGUAGUCUUGUCGAACGUUCAGUCCUCUCGUGGGACGCUAAUACAAAUAUAACUUUCAACAACGGAUCUCUUGGCUCUCGCACCGAUGAAGAACGCAGCGAAAUGCGAUAAGUAAUGUGAAUUGCAGAAUUCAGUGAAUCAUCGAAUCUUUGAACGCACCUUGCGCCCUUUGGUAUUCCGAAGGGCACGCCUGUUUGAGUGUCAUGUUCUUCUCAACCCCUCGCAUUUGUUUGCUUGCGGGUUGGAUUUGGGGGUUGCAGGCUUCUGACGGGGUCGGCUCCCCUUGAAUGCAUUAGUGGGCAUCUGGCUCGCGUUGCUGGUGUGAUAGUCUCUUCAUCAUCGGCGGCGCCUGUCUAAUGGGUCUGCUUUCGAACCGUCUUCUCAAUGGAGACAACGUCCAGUCGAGCGAUCGACAUAGACAUCCCUUUGACCUCAAAUCAGGCGGGACUACCCGCUGAACUUAAGCAUAUCAA
Molecule: ribosomal RNA, 687 nt
Filed under: uncultured eukaryote
Lineage: Eukaryota
Description: eukaryotic LSU rRNA
Rfam family: 5.8S ribosomal RNA (bases 265-418)
Source: RNAcentral